This 468-nucleotide ribosomal RNA is filed under the name uncultured bacterium. Its description in RNAcentral is "partial 16S ribosomal RNA". It matches the Rfam family "Bacterial small subunit ribosomal RNA", at positions 28 to 507 of the family's 1533-position model. The record is from RNAcentral.
GAUGAACGCUGGCGGCGUGCUUAACACAUGCAAGUCGAACGGAAAGGCCAUGCUUUUGUGGGGUGCACGAGUGGCGAACGGGUGUGUAAAACGCGUGUAACCUGCCCCUGACUUUGGGAUAACAUCAGGAAACAGGGGCUAAUAUCGGAGAGGAGCUACUGAUGCAUGGUGGGGGUUGGAAAGAUUCGGCGGUUGGGGAUGGAAUCGCGGCUUAUCAGCUUGUUGGUGGAGUAGUGGCUUACGAAGGCUUUGACGGGUAGGCGGCCUGGGAGGGGGACCAGCGUCCAGGGUACUGAGAGACGGACCAGACGCGUACCGGAGGCAGCAGGGGAGAAUAUUGCGCAGUGGGCGGGAGCGUGAGACGGCGACGCCGCGAGCGUAAUGACGUCCUACUAGUUAUGAACCGCUGUCUACGGUAAUGAAGCGGUAGUGACGGUAAUUAAUAAGAAAGCACCGGCUAACUACGUG